UGGGGAAUAUUGGACAAUGGGCGCAAGCCUGAUCCAGCCAUGCCGCGUGAGUGAUGAAGGCCCUAGGGUUGUAAAGCUCUUUCACCGGUGAAGAUAAUGACGGUAACCGGAGAAGAAGCCCCGGCUAACUUCGUGCCAGCAGCCGCGGUAAUACGAAGGGGGCUAGCGUUGUUCGGAUUUACUGGGCGUAAAGCGCACGUAGGCGGACUAUUAAGUCAGGGGUGAAAUCCCGGGGCUCAACCCCGGAACUGCCUUUGAUACUGGUAGCCUUGAGUUCGAGAGAGGUGAGUGGAAUUCCGAGUGUAGAGGUGAAAUUCGUAGAUAUUCGGAGGAACACCAGUGGCGAAGGCGGCUCACUGGCUCGAUACUGACGCUGAGGUGCGAAAGCGUGGGGAGCAAACAGG
Molecule: ribosomal RNA, 404 nt
Filed under: Actinomycetes bacterium
Lineage: Bacteria; Bacillati; Actinomycetota; Actinomycetes
Description: Actinobacteria bacterium partial 16S ribosomal RNA
Rfam family: Bacterial small subunit ribosomal RNA
Source: RNAcentral